RNAcentral lists this ribosomal RNA (406 nucleotides) under uncultured bacterium. Its description in RNAcentral is "partial 16S ribosomal RNA". It matches the Rfam family "Bacterial small subunit ribosomal RNA", at positions 30 to 526 of the family's 1533-position model. The record is from RNAcentral.
AUUGAACGCUAGCGGCAGGCUUUACACAUGCAAGUCGAACGAGUGGCGGACGGGUGAGUAAUGUAUGGGAAACUGCCCGAUGGAGGGGGAUAACUACUGGAAAGAGUAGCUAAUACCGCAUACCAUCGGAUGUGCCCAGAUGGGAUUAGCUAGUUGGUGGGGUAAAGGCUCACCAAGGCAACGAUCCCUAGCUGGUUUGAGAGGAUGACCAGCCACACUGGAACUGAGACACGGCCCAGACUCCUACGGGAGGCAGCAGUGGGGAAUAGUGGACAAUGGGCGAAACCCUGAUGCAGCCAUGCCGCGUGUAUGAAGAAGGCCUUCGGGUUGUAAAGUACUUUCAGCGGGGAAGCGGUAUCCGCAGAAGAAGCACCGGCUAACUCCGUGCCAGCAGCCGCGGUAAUAC